RNAcentral lists this ribosomal RNA (723 nucleotides) under uncultured Staphylococcus sp. RNAcentral's name for it is "bacterial SSU rRNA". It matches the Rfam family "Bacterial small subunit ribosomal RNA", at positions 68 to 774 of the family's 1533-position model. Lineage: Bacteria; Bacillati; Bacillota; Bacilli; Caryophanales; Staphylococcaceae. The record is from RNAcentral.
AACAGACGAGGAGCUUGCUCCUCUGACGUUAGCGGCGGACGGGUGAGUAACACGUGGAUAACCUACCUAUAAGACUGGGAUAACUUCGGGAAACCGGAGCUAAUACCGGAUAAUAUAUUGAACCGCAUGGUUCAAUAGUGAAAGACGGUUUUGCUGUCACUUAUAGAUGGAUCCGCGCCGCAUUAGCUAGUUGGUAAAGUAACGGCUUACCAAGGCAACGAUGCGUAGCCGACCUGAGAGGGUGAUCGGCCACACUGGAACUGAGACACGGUCCAGACUCCUACGGGAGGCAGCAGUAGGGAAUCUUCCGCAAUGGGCGAAAGCCUGACGGAGCGACGCCGCGUGAGUGAUGAAGGUCUUCGGAUCGUAAAACUCUGUUAUUAGGGAAGAACAAAUGUGUAAGUAACUAUGCACGUCUUGACGGUACCUAAUCAGAAAGCCACGGCUAACUACGUGCCAGCAGCCGCGGUAAUACGUAGGUGGCAAGCGUUAUCCGGAAUUAUUGGGCGUAAAGCGCGCGUAGGCGGUUUUUUAAGUCUGAUGUGAAAGCCCACGGCUCAACCGUGGAGGGUCAUUGGAAACUGGAAAACUUGAGUGCAGAAGAGGAAAGUGGAAUUCCAUGUGUAGCGGUGAAAUGCGCAGAGAUAUGGAGGAACACCAGUGGCGAAGGCGACUUUCUGGUCUGUAACUGACGCUGAUGUGCGAAAGCGUGGGGAUCAAACA